GAUGUCAGCAUACACAGUAAAAUCUCCAGUGUUGAAAUCCCAGUGUUAAGGACUUUUAGAGUAAAGAGUUAAAGUUGUGGUGUUGAAUUUCAAACGAUUAACACUAGCUAGUGUAAACGGCACCCUCUUGCGGUGUUAACACGGAAAGUAACCCAUAUUAACACUGUUGAGUGUUAUUAAUAACAUCCGGGACAUUUUCUCGUGUGCGCGCAUAACCCAUCUGAAAUAUUUUUCAAAGACGCCAUUUUCUUUGCUCGAGAUGCGAAGUGCAUAUGGAAUUAAAACAGCGAAAUAAAGUGUUUAGUCUUACUUACAAAAUAUGUUUUGUAAUAUCAUAUCGUUUUAUAACGAUAUUUAUGUGCUGUAUGCGCCUAAACGUUUCUCAGAGACAUUUCCUUUCACUCGCGACGCGGAACAGACGAGGGAUUUUUUUCAAAACGGGAAAAUCCGAAAAGCGAUAUUUCAUUUCACCAGCGAUGCGAAGUAGACAGGGAAGUUGGUUUUAACAAGGAAAACACCGACAGUAACAAUUUGAAUUGCUCUGAAGUGCGGAAACACCAGAAAUAUUUUCUUUCACUCGCGAUGCUCUGGAGCAGAUGGGGAAGUUGGUUUUAACAAAGAAAACACCAAAAAUGGUUCAUGCUGGCUUAACAGAAAAAUCAAAAGGAGAUGAUGUGCUUGAAGAGUAUGAAGCCACCAAUAUAUGAGAGUUGUCCAACCUCAACGCAGAGAGAUCAGUAUGCACUUGGAAUUGUGACUGUCUCUGUCGUUAGAAGACCCAUUUUCUAGGGAAGGUGUGUGAUGCUGCAAAUAGGAGUGGAUAUCUUGCUUGGCUGAAAACUGCUGAGAAACGCAUCUUGUCGUGCUGAAAAAAAAGAAGUCUAGAAGAAAGAAAAAGACUAUUCUCUCCAAGGAGGUCCAAACACCAUCACAGACAUUGAUUAGUGAGCCUUAACAUGUAUUCUGCAUUUAUGGUAAUGAAUGGAAUGCUGUUGUUUAACCUGAUAAAUGUCAGCAUUAUAAAUCUUAUGACAUUAAGAGUACAUAUGGACCAAAUAAGAAUGUUUUUUGUGUCUUUGCACUGAUUUGCUUUGACAUUAUGAUGUUUAAUUGUUGUAAGGCCAUGCUCUUUACAUUGAAUUUUAGAAUUUUAGAUUUAGAAUUUAUUUAUUUGUUUUUAUUUUGAAUUGCUUUGAAUUGAAACAUUGAAAGUGAAGACAUUUUGGUGCAGGGAAAAAAAUUACAAUGUUUCAAUAAAAUAAAUAAAUGUAAACAUUUAUUGUUUUGUGGGUUUAUUUUUUAAUAUUUUCACCUGAACACUGGGGCAGUGUUGAACAGUUAAUCCAUCAGUGUUAACUUUGAACACCAACUUUGGUGUUCUCAUCAUCAAUUCUGGUGUUAAUAUUUUACACCUUAAGAGUUUGUUGGUUAACACUGUCAGAGUGUUAAUAAUGCUAACUCUUUCAAAAGUGUUAAUUUAACACUUUACUGGUGAUUCC
Long non-coding RNA from Cyprinus carpio carpio, 1499 nucleotides. Lineage: Eukaryota; Metazoa; Chordata; Actinopteri; Cypriniformes; Cyprinidae. The record is from Ensembl.